Long non-coding RNA from Etheostoma spectabile (orangethroat darter), 213 nucleotides. RefSeq lists it as uncharacterized. The transcript has 5 exons. Lineage: Eukaryota; Metazoa; Chordata; Actinopteri; Perciformes; Percidae. The record is from RefSeq and is a predicted model, not a curated record.
UUGAACAAAGAAAGUAGCUAAACUAGUUGAGAGAUUAAACUUUUGCCGUAUCUGGUCGGCAAAACUCCAAACACAUCUUCCUUUUUAAGAACGACUUCAGUGCCAAUCUCCGUUCUUUUCUCAGAGAAAAGCUUAACUCCAAGUCUUCCAGAGUUGCGGCCGAAGCCGAUUCAAAAUGCCGCUGUUCACCAGCAGCAGCCAUCUUCUUUGUUU